AGGGGAAGAGCUGAGAAGGGCCACCGCAAGUGAAGAAAGAUGAGAGAGUAGCGGAAGCGGGAGCUUUGUGGAAGUCGAGGCCGAAGGGAAGGGGAAGGAAGGGAAAUUGGGUUGAGUAGAAAUGUGUGACAUUAGAAACUGAAGCAAAUAAGGCAUGAAUAUUCGUCAUCCAAACUUCAAGCAAACAAGGAGAGCCACGGGGAGCCGAGAAGAUCAUUCAAAGUUAAAACCGAGGCUGAAUCGCACCACACCAGUG
Molecule: long non-coding RNA, 256 nt
Filed under: Carica papaya (papaya)
Lineage: Eukaryota; Viridiplantae; Streptophyta; Magnoliopsida; Brassicales; Caricaceae
Description: long non-coding RNA (CPAP_LNC007892)
Source: RNAcentral